Molecule: long non-coding RNA, 868 nt
Organism: Betta splendens (Siamese fighting fish)
Lineage: Eukaryota; Metazoa; Chordata; Actinopteri; Anabantiformes; Osphronemidae
Source: Ensembl
CCCGCUGUUCCUUUGUGGAAGAUUCUAGAUCUCGAGAAAACGAAUUAAAGACACCAUAUUCCCCGAGAUUUUACGAUGUCUUCUAGGCGGCAAUCGGACAUGGUCCAGGUGACCUGUGUGGCCAUUAAGGAAUGGACCAAGAUCCUAAGGUUUAGAUUUACCCCUGCACCAGAGGCCAGUUGCACACAACAUCAGCGUGAUGCCAUAUUCUGGGAUGGAGAGCGGCUUCUCAGGACCACUGAAUUGGGACCACAGGGAAACCUAACAAAAAUUAAGGAGGGAGAAACAUAUUUUUUGAAAGGUUGCAGAGUGACAGAAUCAGGAUUUCUAAAUUUAAUGCGAGACAGCAAAAUCUAUCUGUCCAGCAAAAUGGACGUGCCUCAGGCAGCAGUGGAAGAAGGCCGGGCAAAGCUUUUCCCCAUGUCUCCUCAUAUUAGCUUUGAAGACCUGCAGAAUCCCCCAACUAUCUUUUCAGUUUGUGGAAAGGUUGUGAAAAUGAGCCAAAUACUGUGCAAGGGGGAUAAUCUUCCUUUAAAGGGAAUUACCAUAACAAAUCCAAAGGGAGAGGAGGCGCAACUAUCAAUGUGGAGGGAGUGUGCUCUGCAAAAGCUUGAAAUAAACAAGCAAUACAAUUUUACACAUCUAAAAAUGAAGCACUUCUCUUCUUAUGGAAGAAAGUGUUGCUCGACCUCGUACACACAAAUAACAGCUGCCAAAACUGAAGAUGAGGUUGACAUAACGGUUAAAGGAGUAGGAGAAGAUGAUGAAAGUGUUUUCCUACUCACCGAGCUAGGAACCGAGGUGAUAGUGCCAAAGGGAUUGUGGAAGGGGGAAAUGUCACACCUGUCCAAGCUGCUUCCCUUGAGUG